CUAUCAAUUUCAAUGGCGAUUAGGUCCUCUACGAUCGCGGCGGUGAUGACGGUGGCGGUGCUGUUGGCCGCUGGAAGAGUGGCGGAGGGGCAGUCGUCGGAUUGCGCCUCUAAGCUGGAGCCCUGCGUGGACUACUUGAACUCGACGAAACCCUCAGCGGAGUGCUGCGACGCCAUGAGAAUUGUGAUAACUACUCAGCUCCCUUGUCUGUGCGGAUUGAUUAGAAACCCAGGCGCUCUCCCCGUCAAUAUCACUCAAGCUCUUGAGCUCCCUAAGCAUUGCAACCCUCCCUGGUGAUACCAGUGCUUGCAACGCAAUUGCUGACGCUCCAGGCUCCUCAUCUCUCCCACCUCCAGGUAACUUAAUUAUGCCUCUUCUUUUACUAAUACUAAUCAAUCUACUAAUUUUAAUUUAGCAUUCCCCUACCCAAAGUUGAAAAAUAAAUAAAGUAUUAGUUGUCAAAUUAAAUUCAUAAAACUCAUUACAUCCCGAGACUCAAUCCUCAUUCGUUAGAUUAAUAUACUAUGUAAAAGUCCCCUCACCAAUGUUACAUUUUUGUUUAGUAAUAUUACACAUAAUUGAUAGCAAAGAUUAAUAGACACAUGAAUAUUACAAAUUAAUCAUGCUCGUUAUUUUAUUGGGGUAUUAAUUAUACUAACACACUAUUCAGAGAUAUGCAUAUAUGUAAAUAUUAAAUACUACUAUAAUGGUUAAAUUUAUGAUUGUUCACAACAAUACUGCCUAAAAACUGACUAACUCAGAAUACAAGGCUAACUUUCACCAUCACCUUAAUGUUGUUGAUUCGUAACAUUUGUCGGUUGAAGUUUCGCUAGCCAAUUAAUUAGGUUUUGGAUUACUAGAAGCUCUCUAAAGGUUGUGUAUUUGGAAUUAAACAAAGAAAAAGAAGAAGCAUCUUUUGGUAAUUAAUAAGUAUAGCGAUUACCAAAUCAAAUAGAUGGAUUAUUAUAGAUUGACUAUUAUUAUAAGGUCCAUGAUUUGACCAGUGCACUACAGUGGCCAAAUUUACGCUGUUUCCGAGCUGCUAAAUGUUGACCCACGUGGCCGACCAACUAUUCAAACACCCAAUAAUAUACACCUAAUAGUUUGUCCAAAUUGAAUUGCAUCUGUUUGUUUGUUUUCACUUUACAUUAGCAACCAAUAAUGGUCUUAAAAGUCAUCUUAUCACUGGUUCCAAUUUCCAAACAUUUAUGGGUGUUUGAGAAUACAAUAUUUUUAUCUCUAUUUAUUUAUUUAUAUCAAAAGUUUGGCACGCUAUGUAUUUAAAUAGUGACACUGUUAAGGGUAGCCUUCCUUAAUGUUCGAAUUCCACACAAUCAAGAAACCGAAGCCGUGGUCGUCGAGCGCCCAAGAGGUUUGGGUCGGCAAAGACGUCCGGUAGAGGGGGUGCUGGGCGCGAGAGAGGUUCUCGUCGACAGCGAUAGAGAAUUAGAGUUUUGUGAUUCAAGCCAAGUUGGGCGAAAUAUUGAUUUCAUUAACUGGUUGAAUGAAUAAAAUGAUAAUAACCUAUCCCUAUUUAUAAUACUAGAAUACUAGCUUAUGGAACAAGAAAACAAUAUAGGAAAAUAUACUAUGAAACAAAAGAUAACUAAAUAAAAGAUAUGGAAGAUAUGACAUUAAUGUCUCGUAUCAGACACCCGGUGGCAACAGCGGUAACGGUGCUGGUGCACUCACCCAGAUGGGGAUGCCGGCUCUCCAGCUCUCACCUUCUUCUAUUAGUUGAAGAAAUCGAGAUAUAUACCCAUUUCUAUGUAUGAUUUAUUUUGUUUUGCUGGUAGAGGAGGUUAAUAAGUUUGGAUGUUAUUGCUAUUACUACACUGCCUGAUUUUUAUUUAUCUCAUGGGUUAAUAAAUAUAUCGGCAUAUUAUUUCCA
This is a long non-coding RNA of Salvia splendens (bonfire salvia), 1891 nucleotides long. RefSeq lists it as uncharacterized. The transcript has 2 exons. Lineage: Eukaryota; Viridiplantae; Streptophyta; Magnoliopsida; Lamiales; Lamiaceae. The record is from RefSeq and is a predicted model, not a curated record.